Molecule: long non-coding RNA, 1580 nt
Filed under: Vigna radiata
Lineage: Eukaryota; Viridiplantae; Streptophyta; Magnoliopsida; Fabales; Fabaceae
Description: long non-coding RNA (VRAD_LNC010385)
Source: RNAcentral
GUGGUUGUCUAUUUUUUUAGCUAGGUUCUGUAAAUCUUUCUGUUAUCUAUCUGUUAUCUUUUUGGGCUUAUAUACAGCCCCAGUGUUAAUUAGAUAGGGAUUCUUUUGGCAGAGAGAACGUCCAGAGCUAUUUCACACACCUUGGAGGAGAUUUCUUGGAUGCUUAGGCUCCUUCUUAUCAAACCUAGGGUUUGCUUUUCCAUUCUUUCAUUAUUUUCAUCUAGUUUCACCAUGAUUAUGGUGAACUAAACCCUUUGUUGUUGGGGAACAAUGUAAUCUUUUGAAACUCUCAUAUAUUGAAAUUCUUAUUUAUUUCAUAUGCUUGUCAUAUACUUGUUUAUCAAUUAUUGGGUUCUCAUUUGCGCUCAAUGCUUUUAUUGUUUAACUCAUUCAGUAAAUGAUGUUUGUCUUUAUCGAUAUGGGGAGGUACGAUAAUGUCAUGAACUAGUGAGAGAUUCCUUGAUUAUGCAAUAUCGCCUAGAGAUAGAGAUAGGACGAUCAAUUGCAUUUGCUUCAGAACGCAUUGCAUUAUUAGUUACUAGGGGAGGCUAUGGAUAGCAAGCCGAUAAUUAAUAGUAGGCUCUUUUCACCAAGGAAUUGGGCUAAGGGUAAUUAAGAAAGUUUGCAUGACAAUUAGAUAAGCAAGGGAAUUAAAUAAGAAGAGUAGAUAUAUGAGAGUGGAUAAGAUGAAAUUGUAAACCCCAACAACACCAUUCAUCCAUAGUUCUCAAAACCAAUUGAAUCAAUUGCAUUGCAUGUUUAUUUUUGUUCUUUGCAUACAACCACCAAUAUUAUUCUUUUCUCAAGUAUUACAAGAUUAGGUUACAUGAAAGUUAAGGCCUAAGAGUCCUUUGGGAAAACGAUACUCGGACUUACCCGUUUAUAUUACUUGAUAACGAUCUGGUACACUUGGCAGGGACUUAACAUACAUAUACUUCUUGUUCUUCUUCUUCUUCAUCUAUAUCUACCACAACUCCAAGAUAAAAUUUUAAUCUUUCGGAGUGAACAAGAAUGUACUGAUCAUCGAAGGCACCAAAGUCACUUUCUCUCUAAACUGCUCAUUGUGACCAUCUUUUCUCUCUUCUUCAUCUUCUUCAACCUCACUACUUUCCAUCUCAAUAAUCUCCUUCUCUUCUUCCUCUUCACUACUUUCAAUUUCAACAACUUCCUUUUCUGCUUUCCUUUUACUCCUGGUUACAACAACUUUGCACUCCUAUUUAGGGUUAACAUCAGUAUUAGCCCUAAAUUGAUUUUUCUCUGUAGUCUCCACCCUUUUUGAUAAUUGACCAAUCUGCAUCUCCAAAGAUUUGAAGCUAGCUUGGUCACUCGCAUGUUGAGACUCAUAAACCUUCAAAAAUUUAUCAAAUCUAUCAUUUAAGUCUCUGACAGCCUCUGUCAAAUGAUUCACCUGCUGCCAUAAGGGUGAUGGUUGAUGCGGUUUGUUGUUAAGGAAACCUCCUACUUGCCCAGAUGGGUUAUUUUGAGAUUGCCCAAUGCUACGAUGUUUUUUCCAACCUUGGCUAGAGUUGCCUUGGCUGAAAUUCCCUUGCUUAUAUUGGAACUGGUUACCCAUAUAAUUU